CCUCUGCGCUCCUUGCCCCUUAACUGUUUUCACUGCGCACGCGCAGUGCUUAACGGCCGGUCUGGAGCCCAACAAUUAGUCCCUUGCCUUCUCAAAAACUCUUAGUUCGAAGAAGCGGUCGUGAACACUCUCUUUACACAAAAACACUUAUUUUUCGGCGAGAGCGGCGCCCUCAUUUACUAGCUCAGGCGGACGCCGGUGCUUUCGGGAAUGAGGUUCCGGCGGUCGCGCCAAGCAGCGUACGCAGCCUGCUUAAGUCACGCUACCUUCGCCACACAAACCAAGAGGAUUUUAAUACUCCGGCGAGGCCUUUUGUGUGAACUGUUCAACGCUUACCCGCUCCGAUUCCGGAAUACCGCAGUCGCCACCGUUCCUGUAAUUCUCUCCAACCCUUUCGAUGCUUCUACUUCUUCAUGAACAAGACAAGAUGGCGCCGGAUUGGCGCCACCCGGAAGUGAAUAAUAACAUCCGCUUUCCGUCUGAAGUCAUAUUUGCCCUCAGCCAGGCUUGUGAGCAUGUGAUUAUACCGGCUUGAUGCGCCCGCGCCAUUUUUUUUAUGGGCAAACCCUCCGCGAUUUCUGCGGCUGAAUAUUCGUAUGUUAAGCCUGCGUCGUACCCGCCACAUUUUCAUCUGUACAGCCAGCACAAAGCCGAGAGAGCCUAGUGUUCCGUACAAACGGCGCCUUGAAGUUCUUAACUUUAGUAAGGAGACCCUCCAAGGGAAAAUGUGUUCUCUCCUACGAACAUUUAUACUCAGGGAAAGAUGUUGAAUUCGCUUCUCCACUUUUAGACUACGGAGGGGGCCCAAAGUCAAACCCAGUCAACUUGGAACUCAUUGUGCCAGCUCCACUUCAGACAAGCUGGCAUCAGGCUGGAGCGCCGCGGAGUUCCGCAAGCAGGGAGUUUGCCUAGGUCUCUUUGUUACCCUCCUAACAUCGCGCCCCCUCGUGGAACAUCCGCUCAGUUCACCUCCGCUCGGCUACUCUUGGGAAAAAGUAACUGGGAAACAUAGUUUCUAUUGGUCCUCUACACCUCAGCUACAAGGUGGCCUUCAGAAAGGAGUUACUGCAACAUCUACUGGGAAUCUAUUUGCCCAGCCAGUGUCCUGAGUGCAGAGACAGGAAAGGAAGACAAGGCCUGUGCCAAGUGGCUCAAUGCACACAGGUUCUGGAGCGCCCCAUCAAGGAACUAUAAACUACUCGUCCCUACAAUGCAUCACAAGCCAGAAACAAAGCAAGCUGGAUGCUUACCUGCAGAACUGGUUUCCUUUUGACACUUCUGCUUCUUUUCAGUACAGUCCUCACAGAGAAGCUUAUUGUUGCCCAUCAGCAACUCCAUGGAUGUGAACUGGUAGAGACAGGACUGCACUGAGCAUUCUUUAGAAGUAGUUACAUAGCUCUGAGAAAGAGUCUGAAAAGCAUUUUGGGCACUAGGAACCCUCAUAUGUUUUCCCUCUGAAAAACACAAGUUACUGGGGACACCGAGUGGCUGUUUUUCCCUGUCACAGUCUCUAUUUCCAAUUACAGCGCUGCCCAGACGAAGUCCAGCAAUUGCCUCAGCCACGUCUGCCUCCCCAAUGGGAGUCUCCGCGCUGUGUGGCAAUUCACUGGCCAGGGCGAGGUGCAGGUGCUGCUCUGCGCGCCCCCAGGCAUCGCCGCUGGAUCGGAGCAGCACAGUUUGCUUGGAAGCGCUCUCGGACUCGGAAGCUUCGCUGUCGGCGUCGGCGUCGGCACUGCUUUCACAAAGGCUGCCUUCUUUCUCACUGCCGUCGGUGGGGCUCUCGUUCAGCGACGACUCGGUACUCAGGACGCUGGCAAACCCGCUCCCUUCAAAGCUUUCGUUCUUCUGAUGCAUAACGCCAGUUUUCUCUUCUCCAGAUGGUAAUUUUCUUAAAGGUUUUCGGUCAUGACUUAGUUGAUUCUGUAAGUUGACAGCAUGUUUCAGAGAAAAGAAUUUUGUGACCUUAUUGAAAACAAAUGCCAUGAGUCCCAUUUAACUGCCCCAAUUACUAAAUAAACAUUUCUCUGAGAUCCAUUUCAAAAUCUA
Peromyscus eremicus (cactus mouse) is the source of this 2046-nucleotide long non-coding RNA. RefSeq lists it as uncharacterized. The record is from RefSeq and is a predicted model, not a curated record. The transcript has 2 exons. NCBI's taxonomy places the organism in Eukaryota, Metazoa, Chordata, Mammalia, Rodentia, Cricetidae.